Molecule: ribosomal RNA, 659 nt
Filed under: Bacillus subtilis
Lineage: Bacteria; Bacillati; Bacillota; Bacilli; Caryophanales; Bacillaceae
Description: bacterial SSU rRNA
Rfam family: Bacterial small subunit ribosomal RNA
Source: RNAcentral
UGGGAGCUUGCUCCCUGAUGUUAGCGGCGGACGGGUGAGUAACACGUGGGUAACCUGCCUGUAAGACUGGGAUAACUCCGGGAAACCGGGGCUAAUACCGGAUGGUUGUUUGAACCGCAUGGUUCAAACAUAAAAGGUGGCUUCGGCUACCACUUACAGAUGGACCCGCGGCGCAUUAGCUAGUUGGUGAGGUAACGGCUCACCAAGGCAACGAUGCGUAGCCGACCUGAGAGGGUGAUCGGCCACACUGGGACUGAGACACGGCCCAGACUCCUACGGGAGGCAGCAGUAGGGAAUCUUCCGCAAUGGACGAAAGUCUGACGGAGCAACGCCGCGUGAGUGAUGAAGGUUUUCGGAUCGUAAAGCUCUGUUGUUAGGGAAGAACAAGUACCGUUCGAAUAGGGCGGUACCUUGACGGUACCUAACCAGAAAGCCACGGCUAACUACGUGCCAGCAGCCGCGGUAAUACGUAGGUGGCAAGCGUUGUCCGGAAUUAUUGGGCGUAAAGGGCUCGCAGGCGGUUUCUUAAGUCUGAUGUGAAAGCCCCCGGCUCAACCGGGGAGGGUCAUUGGAAACUGGGGAACUUGAGUGCAGAAGAGGAGAGUGGAAUUCCACGUGUAGCGGUGAAAUGCGUAGAGAUGUGGAGGAACACCAGUGGC